This 253-nucleotide ribosomal RNA is filed under the name uncultured bacterium. RNAcentral describes it as "partial 16S ribosomal RNA". It matches the Rfam family "Bacterial small subunit ribosomal RNA", at positions 524 to 776 of the family's 1533-position model. The record is from RNAcentral.
UACGAAGGGGGCUAGCGUUGUUCGGAUUUACUGGGCGUAAAGCGCACGUAGGCGGAUUGUUAAGUCAGGGGUGAAAUCCUGGAGCUCAACUCCAGAACUGCCUUUGAUACUGGCAAUCUCGAGUCUGGAAGAGGUGAGUGGAACUCCUAGUGUAGAGGUGGAAUUCGUAGAUAUUAGGAAGAACACCAGUGGCGAAGGCGGCUCACUGGUCCGGUACUGACGCUGAGGUACGAAAGCGUGGGGAGCAAACAGG